This 76-nucleotide transfer RNA is filed under the name Bryobacteraceae bacterium. RNAcentral's name for it is "tRNA-Thr". It matches the Rfam family "tRNA". Rfam says of the family: Transfer RNA (tRNA) molecules are approximately 80 nucleotides in length. Their secondary structure includes four short double-helical elements and three loops (D, anti-codon, and T loops). Lineage: Bacteria; Pseudomonadati; Acidobacteriota; Terriglobia; Bryobacterales; Bryobacteraceae. The record is from RNAcentral.
GCCACCCUAGCUCAGUUGGUAGAGCGACUGAUUCGUAAUUAGUAGGUCGCCGGUUCGAUUCCGGCGGGUGGCUCCA